This 510-nucleotide ribosomal RNA is filed under the name uncultured bacterium. RNAcentral describes it as "partial 16S ribosomal RNA". It matches the Rfam family "Bacterial small subunit ribosomal RNA", at positions 28 to 507 of the family's 1533-position model. The record is from RNAcentral.
GACGAACGCUGGCGGCGUGCUUAACACAUGCAAGUCGAACGAAGAGCGAUGGAAGCUUGCUUCUAUCAAUCUUAGUGGCGAACGGGUGAGUAACGCGUAAUCAACCUGCCCUUCAGAGGGGGACAACAGUUGGAAACGACUGCUAAUACCGCAUACGACCUAAUCUCGGCAUCGAGGAUAGAUGAAAGGUGGCCUCUACAUGUAAGCUAUCACUGAAGGAGGGGAUUGCGUCUGAUUAGCUAGUUGGAGGGGUAACGGCCCACCAAGGCGAUGAUCAGUAGCCGGUCUGAGAGGAUGAACGGCCACAUUGGGACUGAGACACGGCCCAGACUCCUACGGGAGGCAGCAGUGGGGAAUCUUCCGCAAUGGACGAAAGUCUGACGGAGCAACGCCGCGUGAGUGAUGACGGCCUUCGGGUUGUAAAGCUCUGUUAAUCGGGACGAAAGGCCUUCUUGCGAACAGUUAGAAGGAUUGACGGUACCGGAAUAGAAAGCCACGGCUAACUACGUG